RNAcentral lists this ribosomal RNA (483 nucleotides) under uncultured bacterium. Its description in RNAcentral is "partial 16S ribosomal RNA". It matches the Rfam family "Bacterial small subunit ribosomal RNA", at positions 30 to 507 of the family's 1533-position model. The record is from RNAcentral.
UUGAACGCUGGCGGCAGGCCUAACACAUGCAGGUCGAGCGGAUGAAGGGAGCUUGCUCCUGGAUUCAGCGGCGGACGGGUGAGUAAUGCCUAGGAAUCUGCCUGGUAGUGGGGGAUAACGUCCGGAAACGGGCGCUAAUACCGCAUACGUCCUGAGGGAGAAAGUGGGGGAUCUUCGGACCUCACGCUAUCAGAUGAGCCUAGGUCGGAUUAGCUAGUUGGUGGGGUAAAGGCCUACCAAGGUGACGAUCCGUAACUGGUCUGAGAGGAUGAUCAGUCACACUGGAACUGAGACACGGUCCAGACUCCUACGGGAGGCAGCAGUGGGGAAUAUUGGACAAUGGGCGAAAGCCUGAUCCAGCCAUGCCGCGUGUGUGAAGAAGGUCUUCGGAUUGUAAAGCACUUUAAGUUGGGAGGAAGGGCAGUAAGUUAAUACCUUGCUGUUUUGACGUUACCAACAGAAUAAGCACCGGCUAACUUCGUG